GAGGUGUAUAUUUUGAUAUACUACUUCGAUUCUCAAAUAGAUUAUUUCUAUAUGUUUCAUUUAAUGAUAUGAAGCUAUAGACACUCCCAGCCCAUUGAUUGGAUGGUUAGAUUGAAUUUUUAUUCCUUAGAUCCCAUUUUUGGACUCGAAUCUAAAUAUCUAAAGUUUUUAAAUAUAAAAAUUUAAAAUAAAAAAAAUAAUAAUAA
Molecule: long non-coding RNA, 206 nt
Filed under: Elaeis guineensis (African oil palm)
Lineage: Eukaryota; Viridiplantae; Streptophyta; Magnoliopsida; Arecales; Arecaceae
Description: long non-coding RNA (EGUI_LNC027515)
Source: RNAcentral